UGGGGAAUAUUGGACAAUGGGGGGAACCCUGAUCCAGCCAUGCCGCGUGUGUGAAGAAGGCCUUAUGGUUGUAAAGCACUUUAAGCGAGGAGGAGGGUACUGGUAUUAAUACUACCAGGUACUGGACGUUACUCGCAGAAUAAGCACCGGCUAACUCUGUGCCAGCAGCCGCGGUAAUACAGAGGGUGCGAGCGUUAAUCGGAUUUACUGGGCGUAAAGCGUGCGUAGGCGGCUAAUUGAGUCGGAUGUGAAAUCCCCGAGCUUAACUUGGGAAUUGCAUUCGAUACUGGUUAGCUAGAGUGUGGGAGAGGAUGGUAGAAUUCCAGGUGUAGCGGUGAAAUGCGUAGAGAUCUGGAGGAAUACCGAUGGCGAAGGCAGCCAUCUGGCCUAACACUGACGCUGAGGUACGAAAGCAGGGGGAGCAAACAGG
RNAcentral lists this ribosomal RNA (430 nucleotides) under Pseudomonadota bacterium. RNAcentral describes it as "Proteobacteria bacterium partial 16S ribosomal RNA". It matches the Rfam family "Bacterial small subunit ribosomal RNA", at positions 355 to 776 of the family's 1533-position model. Lineage: Bacteria; Pseudomonadati; Pseudomonadota. The record is from RNAcentral.